This is a long non-coding RNA of Ixodes scapularis (black-legged tick), 246 nucleotides long. RefSeq lists it as uncharacterized. The transcript is spliced from 3 exons. The record is from RefSeq and is a predicted model, not a curated record. Lineage: Eukaryota; Metazoa; Arthropoda; Arachnida; Ixodida; Ixodidae.
CUGCAACUAGCAGAUGCCGCCAUAGUCCCGAGGCACCGUCUGGCAAGGCUGCCCUCACGGCAAAACAGGUUUAAUUUUGGCAGACGCCUUUCGUCAAGCAUGGUACUUCGGGCAAAUCAACCCAUCUGAAGUGCGAUACAAAAGUGCAACCAGUGGCAUUGCACCGAAGUUGCGAACUCUUCAAGUGCUUUGACAUCUGUGAGUGUACCGUCCUUCAAUUAUACUCCGUGUCGCUAGUUGUGUGUA